CAGUCGCCGCGGGAAUACGUAGGUGGCAAGCGUUGUCCGGAAUUAUUGGGCGUAAAGCGCGCGCAGGCGGAUAGGUCAGUCUGCCUUAAAAGUUCGGGGCUUAACCCCGUGAUGGGAUGGAAACUGCCAAUCUAGAGUAUCGGAGAGGAAAGUGGAAUUCCUAGUGUAGCGGUGAAAUGCGUAGAUAUUAGGAAGAACACCAGUGGCGAAGGCGACUUUCUGGACGAAAACUGACGCUGAGGCGCGAAAGCCAGGGGUGCGAACGGGAUUAGAUACCCCCGUAGUCCCUGUCUCUUAUACA
RNAcentral lists this ribosomal RNA (301 nucleotides) under uncultured bacterium. RNAcentral describes it as "partial 16S ribosomal RNA". It matches the Rfam family "Bacterial small subunit ribosomal RNA", at positions 509 to 809 of the family's 1533-position model. The record is from RNAcentral.